AACGAACGCUGGCGGCAUGCCUAACACAUGCAAGUCGAACGAGACCUUCGGGUCUAGUGGCGCACGGGUGCGUAACGCGUGGGAACCUGCCCUUAGGUUCGGAAUAACUCCCCGAAAGGGGUGCUAAUACCGGAUAAUGUCUUCGGACCAAAGAUUUAUCGCCAUUGGAUGGGCCCGCGUUGGAUUAGCUAGUUGGUAGGGUAAACGCCUACCAAGGCGACGAUCCAUAGCUGGUCUGAGAGGAUGAUCAGCCACACUGGGACGGAGACACGGCCCAAACUCCGACGGGGGGCAGCAGUGGGAAAUAGUGGACAAGGGGCGAAAGCCUGAUCCAGCAAUGCCGAGUGAGUGACGAAGGCCUUAGGGUUGUAAAGCGCGUUUACAGGGGAUGAUAAGAACGGAACCGGGAGAAUAAGCUCCGGCAAACUCGGU
Molecule: ribosomal RNA, 432 nt
Filed under: uncultured bacterium
Lineage: Bacteria
Description: partial 16S ribosomal RNA
Rfam family: Bacterial small subunit ribosomal RNA
Source: RNAcentral